GUCUUACCAUGGGUUUCCUGCAAGCACUUCAGGAGGCAUUGUUUGAAAGACCAUUGUUAAGUGUUUGGGGGAACUCUUGGUAUCAU
Molecule: microRNA precursor, 86 nt
Filed under: Triticum aestivum (bread wheat)
Lineage: Eukaryota; Viridiplantae; Streptophyta; Magnoliopsida; Poales; Poaceae
Also listed under: 1 other name
Description: mir-395 microRNA precursor family
Rfam family: mir-395 microRNA precursor family
About the family: mir-395 was identified in both Arabidopsis thaliana and Oryza sativa computationally and was later experimentally verified. mir-395 is thought to target mRNAs coding for ATP sulphurylases. The mature sequence is excised from the 3' arm of the hairpin.
Source: Rfam by way of RNAcentral